RNAcentral lists this ribosomal RNA (627 nucleotides) under Fomitopsis sp. Fo1. RNAcentral describes it as "eukaryotic LSU rRNA". The stretch from base 231 to 384 matches the Rfam family "5.8S ribosomal RNA". Lineage: Eukaryota; Fungi; Basidiomycota; Agaricomycetes; Polyporales; Fomitopsidaceae. The record is from RNAcentral.
AAGGAUCAUUAAUGAAUUUUGAAAGGGGUUGUAGCUGGCCGUCUCUUUGGGGCGGCAUGUGCACGCCCUGAUCACUAUCCAUCUCACACACCUGUGCACACACUGUAGGUUGGCUUGUGAUCGGAGCUACGGUCUUCAUUGACUUUGCUCUGGUUGGAGGCCCUCCUAUGUAUCAUCACAAACUACUUCAGUUUAAAGAAUGUACUCUUGCGUCUAACGCAUUUAAAUACAACUUUCAGCAACGGAUCUCUUGGCUCUCGCAUCGAUGAAGAACGCAGCGAAAUGCGAUAAGUAAUGUGAAUUGCAGAAUUCAGUGAAUCAUCGAAUCUUUGAACGCACCUUGCGCUCCUUGGUAUUCCGAGGAGCAUGCCUGUUUGAGUGUCAUGGAAUUCUCAACUCUAUUUGCUUUUGUGAAUAGAGCUUGGAUUUGGAGGUUUAUUGCUGGUACUUGUGAUCGGCUCCUCUUGAAUGCAUUAGCUCGAACCUUUGCGGAUCAGCUAUCGGUGUGAUAAUUGUCUACGCCGUUGCAGUGAAGCAUAUCAAUGGGCUCGGCUUCCAAUCGUCCUUUACUGGACAAUGACUUUGACCUUUGACCUCAAAUCAGGUAGGAUUACCCGCUGAACUUAA